GACGAACGCUGGCGGCGUGCUUAACACAUGCAAGUCGAACGGAAAGGCCCUGCUUUUGUGGGGUGCUCGAGUGGCGAACGGGUGAGUAACACGUGAGUAACCUGCCCUUGACUUUGGGAUAACUCCAGGAAACUGGGGCUAAUACCGGAUAGGAGCUCCUGCUGCAUGGUGGGGGUUGGAAAGUUUCGGCGGUUGGGGAUGGACUCGCGGCUUAUCAGCUUGUUGGUGGGGUAGUGGCUUACCAAGGCUUUGACGGGUAGCCGGCCUGAGAGGGUGACCGGCCACAUUGGGCCUGAGGUACGGACCAGAAUCCUACGGGAGGCAGCAGUGGGGAAUAUUGCACAAUGGGCGGAAGCCUGAUGCAGCAACGCCGCGUGCGGGAUGACGGCCUUCGGGUUGUAAACCGCUUUCGCCUGUGACGAAGCGUGAGUGACGGUAAUGGGUAAAGAAGCACCGGCUAACUACGUG
This 468-nucleotide ribosomal RNA is filed under the name uncultured bacterium. RNAcentral describes it as "partial 16S ribosomal RNA". It matches the Rfam family "Bacterial small subunit ribosomal RNA", at positions 28 to 507 of the family's 1533-position model. The record is from RNAcentral.